UUCAGAGUGGCUCAGUCAGUAGAGCACAAGACUCUUAAUUUAUGGGUUGUGGGUUAGAGCACCACAAUGGGCAAAA
Molecule: non-coding RNA, 76 nt
Organism: Podarcis lilfordi (Lilford's wall lizard)
Lineage: Eukaryota; Metazoa; Chordata; Lepidosauria; Squamata; Lacertidae
Source: the annotation of a GenBank genome assembly